GGGAUACUCCGGGAACCGGAGCUAAUACCGGAUAGUUCCUUGAACCGCAUGGUUCAAGGAUGAAAGACGGUUUCGGCUGUCACUUACAGAUGGACCCGCGGCGCAUUAGCUAGUUGGUGAGGUAACGGCUCACCAAGGCGACGAUGCGUAGCCGACCUGAGAGGGUGAUCGGCCACACUGGGACUGAGACACGGCCCAGACUCCUACGGGAGGCAGCAGUAGGGAAUCUUCCGCAAUGGACGAAAGUCUGACGGAGCAACGCCGCGUGAGUGAUGAAGGUUUUCGGAUCGUAAAGCUCUGUUGUUAGGGAAGAACAAGUGCAAGAGUAACUGCUUGCACCUUGACGGUACCUAACCAGAAAGCCACGGCUAACUACGUGCCAGCAGCCGCGGUAAUACGUAGGUGGCAAGCGUUGUCCGGAAUUAUUGGGCGUAAAGGGCUCGCAGGCGGUUUCUUAAGUCUGAUGUGAAAGCCCCCGGCUCAACCGGGGAGGGUCAUUGGAAACUGGGAAACUUGAGUGCAGAAGAGGAGAGUGGAAUUCCACGUGUAGCGGUGAAAUGCGUANAGAUGUGGAGGAACACCAGUGGCGAAGGCGACUCUCUGGUCUGUAACUGACGCUGAGGAGCGAAAGCGUGGGGAGCGAACAGGAUUAGAUACCCUGGUAGUCCACGCCGUAAACGAUGAGUGCUAAGUGUUAGGGGGUUUCCGCCCCUUAGUGCUGCAGCUAACGCAUUAAGCACUCCGCCUGGGGAGUACGGUCGCAAGACUGAAACUCAAAGGAAUUGACGGGGGCCCGCACAAGCGGUGGAGCAUGUGGUUUAAUUCGAAGCAACGCGAAGAACCUUACCAGGUCUUGACAUCCUCUGACAACCCUAGAGAUAGGGCUUUCCCUUCGGGGACAGAGUGACAGGUGGUGCAUGGUUGUCGUCAGCUCGUGUCGUGAGAUGUUGGGUUAAGUCCCGCAACGAGCGCAACCCUUGAUCUUAGUUGCCAGCAUUCAGUUGGGCACUCUAAGGUGACUGCCGGUGACAAACCGGAGGAAGGUGGGGAUGACGUCAAAUCAUCAUGCCCCUUAUGACCUGGGCUACACACGUGCUACAAUGGACAGAACAAAGGGCUGCGAGACCGCAAGGUUUAGCCAAUCCCACAAAUCUGUUCUCAGUUCGGAUCGCAGUCUGCAACUCGACUGCGUGAAGCUGGAAUCGCUAGUAAUCGCGGAUCAGCAUGCCGCGGUGAAUACGUCCC
This 1245-nucleotide ribosomal RNA is filed under the name Bacillus pumilus. RNAcentral's name for it is "bacterial SSU rRNA". It matches the Rfam family "Bacterial small subunit ribosomal RNA", at positions 140 to 1374 of the family's 1533-position model. Lineage: Bacteria; Bacillati; Bacillota; Bacilli; Caryophanales; Bacillaceae. The record is from RNAcentral.